This 607-nucleotide ribosomal RNA is filed under the name Hanseniaspora uvarum. Its description in RNAcentral is "eukaryotic LSU rRNA". It matches the Rfam family "Eukaryotic large subunit ribosomal RNA", at positions 1 to 655 of the family's 3401-position model. Lineage: Eukaryota; Fungi; Ascomycota; Saccharomycetes; Saccharomycodales; Saccharomycodaceae. The record is from RNAcentral.
UUUCUUUUGCUUGUAUUCGGAGGAAAAGAAACCAACUGGGAUUACCUUAGUAACGGCGAGUGAAGCGGUAAAAGCUCAAAUUUGAAAUCUGGUACUUUCAGUGCCCGAGUUGUAAUUUGUAGAAUUUGUCUUUGAUUAGGUCCUUGUCUAUGUUCCUUGGAACAGGACGUCAUAGAGGGUGAGAAUCCCGUUUGGCGAGGAUACCUUUUCUCUGUAAGACUUUUUCGAAGAGUCGAGUUGUUUGGGAAUGCAGCUCAAAGUGGGUGGUAAAUUCCAUCUAAAGCUAAAUAUUGGCGAGAGACCGAUAGCGAACAAGUACAGUGAUGGAAAGAUGAAAAGAACUUUGAAAAGAGAGUGAAAAAGUACGUGAAAUUGUUGAAAGGGAAGGGCAUUUGAUCAGACAUGGUGUUUUUUGCAUGCACUCGCCUCUCGUGGGCUUGGGCCUCUCAAAAAUUUCACUGGGCCAACAUCAAUUCUGGCAGCAGGAUAAAUCAUUAAGAAUGUAGCUACUUCGGUAGUGUUAUAGCUUUUUGGAAUACUGUUAGCCGGGAUUGAGGACUGCGCUUCGGCAAGGAUGUUGGCAUAAUGGUUAAAUGCCGCCCGUCUG